AACAGACGCCCUUCUGUAGUGUGGGCAGAGCUGAAUGUGCCCCCGUGGAUGAACACGUGUUGGUUGUGGGCAUUUGAGGUGCUUCCACCUUUUCCCUAAAUGAACAGGGCCACCGUGACCACCCGUGUGGCCAUGCAGCUGCCACCCCUCCAGCCGCCCUGCAUGAGGGCUCCUGGUCUCCUGGCUUCUCCAUCCUGCCCACCCUGCCCUCGCUCUGGGCAGGCACCGUUUUAUGACAAAAGAGCAGCUGUUCUGGGGGACCACCAGGCUGUGCACGGAGCUGCUUUCCACGCAACCGGGGACAGAGGGAGCAGGACACGGGCCACCACUCCAGAAAACGGGGACAGUGUCCCUCUCCACUCUACAAGCGUCAGACCCAGAGCUCCGGAAACCAGCUGAGGAACCAGGCCACGCGGGACCCACAAGGAGCCAGGAGCACCCAUUCUCAGCUCAGUGGGUCUAUUCCCCUUUGCCCUUCAUGGCCUGAGGCACCCCGCAGUGUGAUUGAAAGCCCAGAGCCUGAUCUCAACCCAAAACUGUGUGUCAGUGUGAAAUGCCGAGGCUGCCUGGGCAUCAGAGUUGGCUGCCCCGUGCCAAGAUUCUUCUCCAGGGCUGUGACGAGUUGAGGCCAGGCCUGGGGCCUGGUGGGGGAUGGGGAACCUCCAUUUCUGCCCUUGGUCUCCCAAUGUUCCCCACUCCUCCCCUCAUCCUGCGUCCUCCCCAAGCGUCGGCAGAGCUAGGAUGGACCGUGUGUACCCCACAAUACACCAGGCUGGCCAGCGGGCAGCUGAAGCCCGGGAGACGCGGCCAGGAGGUAGUCCUGGUGCAUGAAUGACUACAGGGAUGGGGGAGGUGCUAAAGGAGUAACGUGAGCCUGCAUCCCCACCUGUGACAGAUAUGGGAGGGCCGCCUGAGCUGACAGUGAAGUUGGGGUGCCAGCUGGGGUCUCCUGGGCAGGUCCUGAACCCAGCUGAGGGGUCCAAAUCCCCCUAUGAGGGGUCUGUGCCUGAAGCCUGGCCCCAGGAGGCAAGACCCACACACCAUGGAUGCAAGGCC
Bos taurus (domestic cattle) is the source of this 1056-nucleotide long non-coding RNA. NCBI's taxonomy places the organism in Eukaryota, Metazoa, Chordata, Mammalia, Artiodactyla, Bovidae. The record is from Ensembl.